Molecule: ribosomal RNA, 700 nt
Filed under: uncultured Bacteroidota bacterium
Lineage: Bacteria; Pseudomonadati; Bacteroidota
Description: bacterial SSU rRNA
Rfam family: Bacterial small subunit ribosomal RNA
Source: RNAcentral
GGAGUAAUCUAAGACCUAGAGCGGCGCACGGGUGCGUAACGCGUAUGCAACCUACCUCAUACAGGGGGAUAGCCCGGAGAAAUCUGGAUUAAUACCCCAUGGUACUAUAGAGCGGCAUUGUUUUAUAGUUAAAGAUUCAUCGGUAUGAGAUGGGCAUGCGUCUGAUUAGCUAGUUGGCGGUGUAACGGACCACCAAGGCGACGAUCAGUAGGGGUUCUGAGAGGAAGGUCCCCCACACUGGCACUGAGAUACGGGCCAGACUCCUACGGGAGGCAGCAGUAGGGAAUAUUGGGCAAUGGACGAGAGUCUGACCCAGCCAUGCCGCGUGCAGGAAGACGGCGUUCUGCGUUGUAAACUGCUUUUAUCUGGGAAGAAAAGGCCCAUGCGUGGGACAUUGCCGGUACCAGAUGAAUAAGCACCGGCUAACUCCGUGCCAGCAGCCGCGGUAAUACGGAGGGUGCAAGCGUUGUCCGGAUUUAUUGGGUUUAAAGGGUGCGUAGGCGGCUAUUUAAGUCAGUGGUGAAAGACUCCGGCUCAACCGGAGCAGUGCCAUUGAUACUGGAUAGCUUGAGUGUUGGAGGGGUACAUGGAAUUGAUGGUGUAGCGGUGAAAUGCAUAGAUACCAUCAGGAACACCGAUAGCGAAGGCAUUGUACUGGCCAACAACUGACGCUGAGGCACGAAAGCGUGGGGAGCGAACA